This 1505-nucleotide ribosomal RNA is filed under the name metagenome. RNAcentral's name for it is "bacterial SSU rRNA". It matches the Rfam family "Bacterial small subunit ribosomal RNA". The record is from RNAcentral.
AGAGUUGAUCCUGGCUCAGGACGAACGCUGGCGGCGUGCCUAAUACAUGCAAGUAGAACGCUGAAGAGAGGAGCUUGCUCUUCUUGGAUGAGUUGCGAACGGGUGAGUAACGCGUAGGUAACCUGCCUUGUAGCGGGGGAUAACUAUUGGAAACGAUAGCUAAUACCGCAUAACAAUGGAUGACACAUGUCAUUUAUUUGAAAGGGGCAAUUGCUCCACUACAAGAUGGACCUGCGUUGUAUUAGCUAGUAGGUGAGGUAACGGCUCACCUAGGCGACGAUACAUAGCCGACCUGAGAGGGUGAUCGGCCACACUGGGACUGAGACACGGCCCAGACUCCUACGGGAGGCAGCAGUAGGGAAUCUUCGGCAAUGGGGGCAACCCUGACCGAGCAACGCCGCGUGAGUGAAGAAGGUUUUCGGAUCGUAAAGCUCUGUUGUAAGUCAAGAACGAGUGUGAGAGUGGAAAGUUCACACUGUGACGGUAGCUUACCAGAAAGGGACGGCUAACUACGUGCCAGCAGCCGCGGUAAUACGUAGGUCCCGAGCGUUGUCCGGAUUUAUUGGGCGUAAAGCGAGCGCAGGCGGUUUGAUAAGUCUGAAGUUAAAGGCUGUGGCUCAACCAUAGUUCGCUUUGGAAACUGUCAAACUUGAGUGCAGAAGGGGAGAGUGGAAUUCCAUGUGUAGCGGUGAAAUGCGUAGAUAUAUGGAGGAACACCGGUGGCGAAAGCGGCUCUCUGGUCUGUAACUGACGCUGAGGCUCGAAAGCGUGGGGAGCGAACAGGAUUAGAUACCCUGGUAGUCCACGCCGUAAACGAUGAGUGCUAGGUGUUGGAUCCUUUCCGGGAUUCAGUGCCGCAGCUAACGCAUUAAGCACUCCGCCUGGGGAGUACGACCGCAAGGUUGAAACUCAAAGGAAUUGACGGGGGCCCGCACAAGCGGUGGAGCAUGUGGUUUAAUUCGAAGCAACGCGAAGAACCUUACCAGGUCUUGACAUCCCGAUGCUAUUUCUAGAGAUAGAAAGUUACUUCGGUACAUCGGUGACAGGUGGUGCAUGGUUGUCGUCAGCUCGUGUCGUGAGAUGUUGGGUUAAGUCCCGCAACGAGCGUAACCCCUAUUGUUAGUUGCCAUCAUUCAGUUGGGCACUCUAGCGAGACUGCCGGUAAUAAACCGGAGGAAGGUGGGGAUGACGUCAAAUCAUCAUGCCCCUUAUGACCUGGGCUACACACGUGCUACAAUGGUUGGUACAACGAGUUGCGAGUCGGUGACGGCAAGCUAAUCUCUUAAAGCCAAUCUCAGUUCGGAUUGUAGGCUGCAACUCGCCUACAUGAAGUCGGAAUCGCUAGUAAUCGCGGAUCAGCACGCCGCGGUGAAUACGUUCCCGGGCCUUGUACACACCGCCCGUCACACCACGAGAGUUUGUAACACCCGAAGUCGGUGAGGCAACCUUUUGGAGCCAGCCGCCUAAGGUGGGAUAGAUGCUUGGGGUGAAGUCGUAACAAGGUA